RNAcentral lists this transfer RNA (64 nucleotides) under Heteralonia sp. RNAcentral describes it as "tRNA-Cys". The record is from RNAcentral. Lineage: Eukaryota; Metazoa; Arthropoda; Insecta; Diptera; Bombyliidae.
GGCCUUAUAUUCAAUAAUGAUAUUAGACUGCAAUUCUGAAGGAGUAUGAAAAAUACUAAGGCUU